GAUCGGAGCUAUAGCUAAGAGGCCAGCCCAAGGGUGACCUGCCAGACUUGAGUGCGUGAGCGCUGGCUGAGGCCACACCUGCUGGGCAUGUGAGGCGGCCCCUCCCCCUGCUGUGAGUGACACUGGCCUGCACUCUUCUAAUCUCAAGGCUCCAACGAGGCUAUUUAACGUGGUUCAGGCAUGAGCCACUGUGCCUGGCCAAAAUGUGGCUUUUAAAAUUUUAGGACUCCGUUGCAAAAUAGAAAUAUAAAUGACCAAAUCUGUGUUAAAGAGUC
This 275-nucleotide long non-coding RNA is filed under the name Homo sapiens (human). Its description in RNAcentral is "non-protein coding lnc-NOM1-10:1". The record is from RNAcentral. Lineage: Eukaryota; Metazoa; Chordata; Mammalia; Primates; Hominidae.